RNAcentral lists this long non-coding RNA (768 nucleotides) under Gallus gallus (chicken). The record is from RNAcentral. Lineage: Eukaryota; Metazoa; Chordata; Aves; Galliformes; Phasianidae.
CAGCAGUACAAUACCAUGCUCUUAAUUUUGCUUUGAGAUGUAGAACUGUUUUUAGAGUAAUUUAUGCCAGAGACGGCCUAUUCCUUAAUGCUGGGGUUAUGGAAUUUCAUCAGAAAACAUACUCUUUGUCUUAGGACUUUUCUAACUGCAUACUCUAACUUCUGGUUUCCAAAUAGUGUGUUGGCUCUGUAGGUUUCCUAGCAGAAGACACAUCUGGAACAUGCAGCACAGUUUGGAAAGACUGAAUAAAGCUUGAGACAUUGAUUGCCAAGGCUGGCCACUGUAGGGACACCUGCAGAUGUCUGCUUUCAAUGUGAUUUUGACCUGGACCCUGGCUUGAGGUAAAGAAGCACUGCUGUCUGAGUCUUCUGCUGAGUGUUACCAUCAUGUUGGCAGCGUGACUGCAACCUGCCUGCAGGAAGCAAUGGCAGCUACAUGGAAUAUCCUUCAUUCUAUUAGCUGGCCUACUGUGACAGUAAGAAUUUUCAUACUGAUGAAAUAUGACCUUCUACCGACCAUCAGUUCUGGAUAUGGAGACAAUUUGGAAUGGAGAUACCAUUUACUCACCUGAAACAACAGUGGCAGAAGUGGUAGUGUCUGCAUGGAUCACCUUUGGCAAAAUGGCCUCAGUAACAACAGCUGGUAAGAUAAAAGCGAGAAUAUAAACAGCGAAUGGGAAUGGAGAACCCAAAGCUGGAUCAAAAUACAAUUGUCCCAAAUGGCUGUUUAAGAGAGGAAGACAAGAAUCAGCUAGAUUCAUAACCAGGU